RNAcentral lists this ribosomal RNA (508 nucleotides) under uncultured bacterium. RNAcentral describes it as "partial 16S ribosomal RNA". It matches the Rfam family "Bacterial small subunit ribosomal RNA", at positions 28 to 523 of the family's 1533-position model. The record is from RNAcentral.
GAUGAACGCUAGCUACAGGCUUAACACAUGCAAGUCGAGGGGAAACGAUAUUGGAAGCUUGCUUCCGAUAGGCGUCGACCGGCGCACGGGUGAGUAACGCGUAUCCAACCUGCCCACCACUUGGGGAUAACCUUGCGAAAGUAAGACUAAUACCCAAUGAUAUCUCUAGAAGACAUCUGAAAGAGAUUAAAGAUUUAUCGGUGAUGGAUGGGGAUGCGUCUGAUUAGCUUGUUGGCGGGGUAACGGCCCACCAAGGCGACGAUCAGUAGGGGGUCUGAGAGGAAGGUCCCCCACAUUGGAACUGAGACACGGUCCAAACUCCUACGGGAGGAAGCAGUGAGGAAUAUUGGUCAAUGGACGAGAGUCUGAACCAGCCAAGUAGCGUGCAGGAUGACGGCCCUAUGGGUUGUAAACUGCUUUUAUAAGGGAAUAAAGUGAGCCUCGUGAGGCUUUUUGCAUGUACCUUAUGAAUAAGGACCGGCUAAUUCCGUGCCAGCCGCCGCAGUAA